UUUGCUUCGGAUUGAGUCUGAGAUUUUGUUUGUUUAUUUAUUCCAGUUAUGGGUUUUUCUUCUGGGUCGGGUCACCCCGUUAUGUUAUUCGAACAAAAGUGUAAUCUGUGUGUGUGUCCCGGGUGGAUUCAAAUGUUCAAUCAAUUCAAUUUCAGUCAAAAUGUUGCCCAUUUCUGGAACUGAUGCUGUUUUGUUAUGUUUGAUCCUUAAAUGUGCUUCUGUGACUGGUUUUUUAUAUAGAAUUUUUGGGUACAUGGUUUAAGUGUUAGUCUUUCAAUGCAUGAACUUUGAAUUGGACACUGAAAUUGGGAUAUGUUUCAGUUGACUUUAUAUUUAUGUAAUAAAUUGAGUGUGUAAUAAAUUAAGACUCCAUAGAGCAUUUGGAUGGCUUAGUAUUUAGGACAUAAGGAAAGCAAACAAACACUAUCCUUUUGGUGAAUCAAUCAUACAUGCUUCUUGUAUACAUGUGUUUCUUUCUAUCAUGGGUUUUAAGGUUUAUCUUUGUUUAUAGAGAGAGUAUGAUCCUAAACUCUUAUGUUCUACUCUUCUUGGUAAGAACGUAUCAAAUUCUAACGUAACCAUCGAUUAAAUAUAGCUGGAUUUUAAGUUUUUGUUAAAUAUACAUGUAAAAUAGUGCACAUACCAAGGUAUAUUGAUAUAAUAUACAUAUAAAAUUUUGAAUUUUUUUUCUAGUUAGCGCCCGCUAUUUAUCGCUAUUCGCUAUGUAAUAUAUAGGUACCUUAUCGCUAUUUGUCGUUAUUCGCCAUUAACAACUAUGUUGACAACUUACUCAUAGUGAUGCUUGGGGCUGUAAGAACACUCAGGCUACAUGUUGAGGAAGAUGGCCCAAUUGUGGAAGGUUGCGGUGAUGUGUUACUUUCCUGUGGGUACAGAAGCUAAAAAUGAAAUACAGCUUUGUCUUGAACAUGCGAGAACUGCUAUGCAUCCACUGACUGCUGCUGGUGGGAAUUCAAGUUGCUAGCUGGAGAGUCAAAGAAACCGAAAGGAUGAUCGCCACUUGCAAUGAACUCAGAAAGUUGGGAGCUACAAUUGAAGAAGGCCCCGAGUACUGUGUGAUCACUCCACCGGAGAAGUUGAAUGUGGCGGCAAUACACAUAUGAUUUCUAACGGGGGGUCGAAAACGUAUAUACCCAAAAAUUUCUACAGAACCAGGGGGUCGAAAACAUAUAUACGAAAACCACAUAUAUUACACUACUGAGCGAAAAGUUCAGGGGUUAGACGCCCCCGGCCCCUUAAUAGCUGCGCCCCUGCCUGUGUAGAUGUUCUUGUCACCAUCAGGGAUCCUGCUUGCACUCAUAAGACGUUUCCCGGUUACUUUGAAGUUCUUCAGAGAUACGCGAAGCAUUGAUGUUUUUCGAAUCGAGUUUUUGUUUCAUUCGUAAGGUGUAAAAAAAAGAUUUUAUUUGCUAUUAGAUUUGUGAUUCUUUGGAAUAGUAAGAUUAAAUUUUAAGUGUU
Molecule: long non-coding RNA, 1476 nt
Filed under: Helianthus annuus (common sunflower)
Lineage: Eukaryota; Viridiplantae; Streptophyta; Magnoliopsida; Asterales; Asteraceae
Description: hypothetical non coding rna
Source: RNAcentral